GACGAACCGUGCGAACGUUGUUCGGAAUUACUGGGCGUAAAGGGCUCGUAGGCGGCCAACUAAGUCGGAUGUGAAAUCCCCAGGCUCAACCUGGGAACUGCAUCCGAUACUGGAUGGCUUGAAUUCGGGAGAGGGAUGCAGAAUUCCAGGUGUAGCGGUGAAAUGCGUAGAUAUCUGGAGGAAUACCGGUGGCGAAGGCGGCAUCCUGGACCGACAUUGACGCUGAGGAGCGAAAGCCAGGGGAGCAAACGGG
RNAcentral lists this ribosomal RNA (253 nucleotides) under uncultured bacterium. Its description in RNAcentral is "partial 16S ribosomal RNA". It matches the Rfam family "Bacterial small subunit ribosomal RNA", at positions 524 to 776 of the family's 1533-position model. The record is from RNAcentral.